UGAUUAAUCAAAGGAUAAAAAGUAGAGCCUGGCGACGCAUGCGCGUUUAUCAUAACUCUCUUACUCUCUCUGUCUCUGCCCCGCCCUCACGAAUGUUAACGCUGUGUGCACCACUUUUUUUUUUUUAACCCCUUUUUAACCCUGAAUGCACAUUGCCAAUACAUACAACCAUAACUUCAAAUGCCGGACAUUUGAGGCAUUUAAGAAACUCCACCAGGACAGCCCCGCAAAGAGGACAUAUCCCGUGAAAAGAGGAGACUCCAGCACCCCCAGCAACGACGAAAGAGACAAGCAGUAGAAAAUGGAUGGAUGGAUCGACAAGUCCCCAAAAUAAAGAAACAAGGCAGCAUUAGAGACUUAGUACAAAGGAAGGUGUGCACACCACAGCAAGCGGCUGCACUGAUACAAAGGAAGGUGUGCACACCACAGCAAGCGACUGCACUGAUUGAUGCUAUCUUGAAUAUGUUGCUAACUGACAUGAGGCGACUAUCAAUGGUGGAGGAUGAAGGUUUUAGACAAAUGAUUCACGUCCUCAACCCUGGUUACACUCUUCCCUCGAGGAACCAUUUUAUCAAACUGAUGGAGAGGAAGUACGAGCGGACAUUCCAUGCAGUGUAGACUGACAUACAGUAAAAGCCACCCAGAGCAAAAUUGCUCUCACUACUGAUGUGUGGACAAGUGUAGCCUACCCUGGCAAUACAUGCCACUACAUUGGAGAGGAAUGGAACAUGAAGUCAAUCUGCCUUACGACCAUGCCACUAGAGGAAAGACAUUCAGCAUCCAACAUUGCAGAAUGUUUGGAAUAGGUAGUAGCCAGGUUUGAAAUUCCCCUAAGCAAAAUUAUGGCUAUUGUGCAGGACAAUGGUGCACUUUAUAUAUAAAAAAAAAAGAAUAAAAAUAAAAAAAACAUUUUUGUAAAACUUGCCUUGUUUUACCUGGCAAGUCGAAAGAACAUGGUGCCAGAACAAUUUCCCUUGUGGAUCAUUAAAGUUUGUCUAAGUCUAAGUAUGCUGUUUUUUAAAUUAAAGUAUUGGAAAGGAUAGAAAUGUAGUUUGUCUCUUGUAUCCGAUUAUUAAUCGAUUAAUCAAAGUAAUAAUCGACAGAUUAAUCGAUUAUUAAAUUAAUCGUUAGUUGCAGCCCUAACACAUAUAC
This is a long non-coding RNA of Nerophis ophidion (straightnose pipefish), 1152 nucleotides long. RefSeq lists it as uncharacterized. NCBI's taxonomy places the organism in Eukaryota, Metazoa, Chordata, Actinopteri, Syngnathiformes, Syngnathidae. The transcript is spliced from 3 exons. The record is from RefSeq and is a predicted model, not a curated record.